This 76-nucleotide transfer RNA is filed under the name Cordylochernes scorpioides. RNAcentral describes it as "tRNA-Thr". Lineage: Eukaryota; Metazoa; Arthropoda; Arachnida; Pseudoscorpiones; Chernetidae. The record is from RNAcentral.
UGUCCAGGGAUUGGGAAUCGAACCCACAAUGUUCCGUUUACCGGGCAGAUGCAAUGUCCACUAGGCUACCCUGGAC